RNAcentral lists this transfer RNA (83 nucleotides) under Gymnopus androsaceus JB14. Its description in RNAcentral is "tRNA-Thr". It matches the Rfam family "tRNA". Rfam says of the family: Transfer RNA (tRNA) molecules are approximately 80 nucleotides in length. Their secondary structure includes four short double-helical elements and three loops (D, anti-codon, and T loops). The record is from RNAcentral. Lineage: Eukaryota; Fungi; Basidiomycota; Agaricomycetes; Agaricales; Omphalotaceae.
UCCUUCUUAGCUCAGUUGGUAGAGCGCGUCACUAGUAUUUACGAUUGAUGACGAGGUCAGUCGUUCAAGUCGGCUAGAAGGAA